AGUAGGUACAAUGGUGUGCUUAGAAGUGUUCGGCGUAAGCCUGCAUGGAGCCGCUAUUGGUACAGAUCUUGGUGGUAGUAGCAAAUAAUCGAAUGAGACCUUGGAGGACUGAAGUGGAGAAGGGUUUCGUGUGAACAGUGGUUGAUCACGAGUUAGUCGGUCCUAAGUUCAAGGCGAAAGCCGAAAAUUUUUAAGUUAUUAAUGAAAAUAAUAAAUAUGAAUUUAUUUAAUAUUGAAAUUAUAUGCUUAAAUAUUUUUGAACGAAAGGGAAUACGGUUCCAAUUCCGUAACCUGUUGAGUAUCCGUUUGUUAUUAAAAAUGGGCUUUUUGCUCAUCCUGGCAACAGGAACAACCAUAAAGAAGCCGUCGAGAGAUAUCGGAAGAGUUUUCUUUUCUGUUUUAUAGUCGUACUACCAUGGAAGUCUUUCGAAGAGAGAUAUGGUAGAUGGACUAGAAGAGCAUGACAUUUACUGUUGUGUCGAUAUUUUCUCCUCGGACCUUGAAAAUUUAUGGUGGGGUUACGCAAACUUCUCAACAGGCCGUACCGAUAUCCGCAGCUGGUCUCCAAGGUGAAGAGUCUCUAGUCGAUAGAAUAAUGUAGNAAGUCUUU
This 610-nucleotide ribosomal RNA is filed under the name Eristalis dimidiata. Its description in RNAcentral is "eukaryotic LSU rRNA". It matches the Rfam family "Eukaryotic large subunit ribosomal RNA", at positions 1384 to 1918 of the family's 3401-position model. The record is from RNAcentral. Lineage: Eukaryota; Metazoa; Arthropoda; Insecta; Diptera; Syrphidae.